Molecule: transfer RNA, 68 nt
Filed under: Cyclosa argenteoalba
Lineage: Eukaryota; Metazoa; Arthropoda; Arachnida; Araneae; Araneidae
Description: tRNA-Ile
Source: RNAcentral
AUUAAAGUGCCUGAGUAAAAGGAUUAACUUGAUAGGUUAAAUAAUGAAAAAUUUUUAUUUCUUUACGA